This 1589-nucleotide long non-coding RNA is filed under the name Sus scrofa (pig). Its description in RNAcentral is "lncRNA (ENSSSCG00030000484.1)". The record is from RNAcentral. Lineage: Eukaryota; Metazoa; Chordata; Mammalia; Artiodactyla; Suidae.
UCCCUUCCCAGCCUGCUUUCUGUGCAAGAUCCUCAAUACUCUGUCCUCACAGCAACGCGUGUGCAGAUUUUAAAUUAUUUUUAAAAAAUUAUUAUUUCUCUUUUAAAGAUGAAGCUCAUGUUGGAGUUCCUGUUGUGGCGCAGUGGAAACCAAUCCGACUAGGAACCAUGAGCAGAUUUUUCCGACUGCCAAAUCGCUGGACCACACAUCCCAUGGGCCUGGGUUUUUAGAACCUCCCGCCCUCGAAAGAGCGGAAAUUUGAAGACGUCCACUGCACCUGUUUAGAGAGAAACCCUCUUUCCCAUCCUAACGUGGAGCAGCCCUCCUCAAACCGUCAUGGUCACCAGCAUUGUUCACAAGGACACCGCUUGCCAAGGUCAUGCCAAGGGAAGGCAAAGCUGGAAGGAUACUGCCAUGCCCACGAAGGAAACCAUCAUCUCCCACACGCCCACGCCGUAUCCAUUCCUGCACUUCCUCCGCUCCAAAUCAAGAGACGCCUUAUCUUCUGCUGUCUUAAAAUUGUUCUCAACUUGAUGUCCACGCGCCUUUGGGAGGCGAAGAGAUGCUGUGCCCCUGACUCCUGGCCGCAGCUGCAGGAAGCUCUCCCACCCCGGAAGGCUCCGGCAUGAAUCAGCACGCUCCUCUCCACAUCCCUCCGCGGAGGCUCGGGCCGGAACACACCAUCAGCACCAGUCGUGCUUUUCACUCUGCCCUUGACAUCCUUGGCCUUCCUUGGCCCCACGCCCUUCUGACUCAGCUCGGCCUCCCACGGAGAUGUCCUCAGGAGAGUCAGCUCUGAGCCUUCUCUUCCUGACCCACCCCAGGCUCCUCUUCUGUCACCGGUUGGACAUCUUGGUCCUGCCUCUAUCACUGGGUUUCAGCCUCACCAACCCUUCCCUCUUUUAAAAAAAUCUAAGAAUGCUUUCUCUGGUUUAAUAACUCUUUUUUUUUUUUUUUCCUCCGUUUUUGGUUGAACCUGAAGUUCCUGGGCCAGGGGUUGAACUCUUGCCACAGCUGUAACCAGAGCCACAACAGUGACAAUGCUGGAUCCCUCACCCGCUGGGCCACGAGAGAACUCCCUCAGUAAUUCAAUCAGGUCUUCUUAAUGUAUCCACAGGGCUUAGUCUUUCACAACCCCUCUCACUCAACUUCCCUUAAAACUGUAACUCUCCCAGGAAUUCCAAUCAUGGUGCAGGAGAAACGAAUCCAACUAGGAACCGUGAGGUUGCGGGUUCGAUCCCUGGCCUCGCUCAGUGGGUUAAGGAUCUGGUGUUGCUGUGAGCUGAGGUGCAGGUUGCAGACGCAGCUCGGAUCCUGCAUUGCGGCGUCUGUGGUAGAGGCCCAUAGCUGCAGCUCUGCUUUGAAUCCUAGCCUGGGAAUCGCCAUAUGCCAUGGGUAUGCCCCCCCCCCCCCGAAAAAAAGAAAGAAAGAAAGAGGCGUUCCCACUGAGGCACAGUGGGUUAAUAAUCUGACUGCGGCAGCUCAGGUCACUGCAGAGCAUUGGGUUCAAUCCCUGGCCUAGGAAUUUCAAUAUGCUGCAGGCGCCGCCAUCAAAAUAAAAAACAUCAAAAAUAAAAAAGAAUGAUAAC